This 429-nucleotide ribosomal RNA is filed under the name Chloroflexota bacterium. Its description in RNAcentral is "Chloroflexi bacterium partial 16S ribosomal RNA". It matches the Rfam family "Bacterial small subunit ribosomal RNA", at positions 355 to 776 of the family's 1533-position model. Lineage: Bacteria; Bacillati; Chloroflexota. The record is from RNAcentral.
UGGGGAAUAUUGCACAAUGGGCGCAAGCCUGAUGCAGCCAUGCCGCGUGUAUGAAGAAGGCCUUCGGGUUGUAAAGUACUUUCAGCGGGGAGGAAGGGAGUAAAGUUAAUACCUUUGCUCAUUGACGUUACCCGCAGAAGAAGCACCGGCUAACUCCGUGCCAGCAGCCGCGGUAAUACGGAGGGUGCAAGCGUUAAUCGGAAUUACUGGGCGUAAAGCGAGCGCAGGCGGUUUCUUAAGUCUGAUGUGAAAGCCCCCGGCUCAACCGGGGAGGGUCAUUGGAAACUGGGAGACUUGAGUGCAGAAGAGGAGAGUGGAAUUCCAUGUGUAGCGAUGAAAUGCGUAGAUAUAUGGAGGAACACCAGUGGCGAAGGCGGCUCUCUGGUCUGUAACUGACGCUGAGGCUCGAAAGCGUGGGGAGCAAACAGG